RNAcentral lists this ribosomal RNA (449 nucleotides) under uncultured organism. RNAcentral describes it as "partial 16S ribosomal RNA". It matches the Rfam family "Bacterial small subunit ribosomal RNA", at positions 332 to 797 of the family's 1533-position model. The record is from RNAcentral.
UACACUCCUGCGGGAGGCAGCAGUGGGGAAUAUUGGACAAUGGGCGCAAGCCUGAUCCAGCCAUGCCGCGUGAGUGAUGAAGGCCCUAGGGUUGUAAAGCUCUUUCACCGGUGAAGAUAAUGACGGUAACCGGAGAAGAAGCCCCGGCUAACUUCGUGCCAGCAGCCGCGGUAAUACGAAGGGGGCUAGCGUUGUUCGGAUUUACUGGGCGUAAAGCGCACGUAGGCGGACUAUUAAGUCAGGGGUGAAAUCCCGGGGCUCAACCCCGGAACUGCCUUUGAUACUGGUAGUCUUGAGUUCGAGAGAGGUGAGUGGAAUUCCGAGUGUAGAGGUGAAAUUCGUAGAUAUUCGGAGGAACACCAGUGGCGAAGGCGGCUCACUGGCUCGAUACUGACGCUGAGGUGCGAAAGCGUGGGGAGCAAACAGGAUUAGAAACCCGUGUAGUCCCA